This 27-nucleotide non-coding RNA is filed under the name Cricetulus griseus (Chinese hamster). Lineage: Eukaryota; Metazoa; Chordata; Mammalia; Rodentia; Cricetidae. The record is from RNAcentral.
UGGUUUUGUAGUAGCGUGAACACUGGC